RNAcentral lists this ribosomal RNA (446 nucleotides) under uncultured bacterium. RNAcentral describes it as "bacterial SSU rRNA". It matches the Rfam family "Bacterial small subunit ribosomal RNA", at positions 329 to 792 of the family's 1533-position model. The record is from RNAcentral.
AACCAGACUCCUACGGGAGGCAGCAGUGGGGGAUAUUGCACAAUGGGGGGAACCCUGAUGCAGCGACGCCGCGUGAGCGAUGAAGUAUUUCGGUAUGUAAAGCUCUAUCAGCAGGGAAGAAAAUGACGGUACCUGACUAAGAAGCCCCGGCUAACUACGUGCCAGCAGCCGCGGUAAUACGUAGGGGGCAAGCGUUAUCCGGAUUUACUGGGUGUAAAGGGAGCGUAGACGGCUGUGCAAGCCAGAUGUGAAAGCCCGGGGCUCAACCCCGGGACUGCAUUUGGAACUGUGUGGCUGGAGUGUCGGAGAGGCAGGCGGAAUUCCUAGUGUAGUGGUGAAAUGCGUAGAUAUUAGGAGGAACACCAGUGGCGAAGGCGGCCUGCUGGACGAUGACUGACGUUGAGGCUCGAAAGCGUGGGGAGCAAACAGGAUUAGAUACCCGAGUA